UUGCUUACUUCGCUAGCACAUACGCUAAAACUGGAACAAUCCAGAGGUUAGCUUGGCCCCUGCAGCAGGAUGCAUGCAAAUUCAUGAAGGGUUCCAUAUCCAC
Mustela putorius furo (domestic ferret) is the source of this 103-nucleotide small nuclear RNA. Lineage: Eukaryota; Metazoa; Chordata; Mammalia; Carnivora; Mustelidae. The record is from Ensembl.